UACGUAGGGUGCGAGCGUUAAUCGGAAUUACUGGGCGUAAAGCGUGCGCAGGCGGUUCGCCAAGUCAGGUGUGAAAUCCCCGGGCUUAACCUGGGAAUUGCGCUUGAAACUAGCGGGCUUGAGUGUGGCAGAGGGGGGUGGAAUUCCACGUGUAGCAGUGAAAUGCGUAGAGAUGCGGAGGAACACCGAUGGCGAAGGCAGCCCCCUGGGCCGACACUGACGCUCAGGCACGAAAGCGUGGGGAGCAAACAGG
This 253-nucleotide ribosomal RNA is filed under the name uncultured bacterium. RNAcentral describes it as "partial 16S ribosomal RNA". It matches the Rfam family "Bacterial small subunit ribosomal RNA", at positions 524 to 776 of the family's 1533-position model. The record is from RNAcentral.